UAUUAAAAUGUUUUGCUGUUGCUUUCUUCUUUAUGGACGGGUUUUGUUUUGCAAGUCAGGAAACAUUCGAGCAAGAAGAAGGACGUCAAAAAUGUCAAUCUUUUGCCGGAGCAACACUUUGUCACCUGACUGACAUGUUUUUGCUGAAAAUAACAGGCUGCGGGAGAAAUCGGCGAAGUGGAGGUGCACCAGUUUCCCUUCAGGCGCCUCGAUGUUCCACUGGCAGCGGGCGUUGUUGCUGUAGGCGGCGGGGUAACGCAUCGACGACACUGUGCCGCCUUCGCCGGACAAAUCCUUCGGCCCUCCACAACCCGAUGCUGCACAGAAAAACCACAAGAGCUCCCUGCGGAUGACAUUUGAGAUCCAAGGAAGGUAGGCUGAGGAGCGGGUGAACACGGACGGCUUUUUGUUCAUUAUGCAUCCAAUAGGGCCGAAGCUGGUGAUGCCAUGAACCUCCCAGGGAUCACCAGAUUCUGUGGCUUGUUUUACCUGACAGACAGACUUCAGCUCGUCAGGCAGUGUGUAUCCGCAGCAGAUCAUGGAGGUCUUCACCUGGAACCACCAGUAAUCCAUUCGUUUACAGGUGUCAUAUGGGACAACAGGAAGGGCCACCUGGUUGAGCGUCUCUGAAACUUUAGCAUUCAUCGAAUCACCUGAUCAAACACAGAAAAGCAAUUUAUUCAGCAUUUUGAUCAACAGGAGGAGUAUUUCCUUUUCUGUCCAGCAGGUGGCAUGAAAACUUUGAGACUCAGACUGUUCUGGAGGAUCAGUGUUGCCAG
Molecule: long non-coding RNA, 779 nt
Organism: Poeciliopsis prolifica (blackstripe livebearer)
Lineage: Eukaryota; Metazoa; Chordata; Actinopteri; Cyprinodontiformes; Poeciliidae
Exons: 4
Source: RefSeq, a predicted model, not a curated record